This 440-nucleotide ribosomal RNA is filed under the name uncultured bacterium. Its description in RNAcentral is "partial 16S ribosomal RNA". It matches the Rfam family "Bacterial small subunit ribosomal RNA", at positions 338 to 795 of the family's 1533-position model. The record is from RNAcentral.
CCUACGGGCGGCAGCAGUGGGGAAUAUUGCACAAUGGGGGGAACCCUGAUGCAGCGACGCCGCGUGGGUGAGGAAGUACUUCGGUAUGUAAAGCCCUAUCAGCAGGGAAGAACAUGACGGUACCUGACUAAGAAGCCCCGGCUAACUACGUGCCAGCAGCCGCGGUAAUACGUAGGGGGCAAGCGUUAUCCGGAUUUACUGGGUGUAAAGGGAGCGUAGAUGGGUUGUUAAGUCAGUUGUGAAAGUUUGCGGCUCAACCGUAAAAUUGCAAUUGAUACUGCCUUGCUGGAAUGCGGAUGCCGUGGGAGGAAUGUGUGGUGUAGCGGUGAAAUGCAUAGAUAUCACACAGAACACCGAUUGCGAAGGCAUCUCACGAAUCCGCGAUUGACGCUGAUGCACGAAGGCCAGGGGAGCGAAAGGGAUUAGAUACCCGAGUAGUC